Molecule: ribosomal RNA, 301 nt
Filed under: uncultured bacterium
Lineage: Bacteria
Description: partial 16S ribosomal RNA
Rfam family: Bacterial small subunit ribosomal RNA
Source: RNAcentral
CAGUAGCCACGGUAAUACAGGGGAUGCUAGUGUUAUUCGGAAUUAUUGGGCGUAAAGGGCCCGUAGGUGGUUUUUCAAGUCUGUUGUGAAAGGACAGGGCUUAACCCUGUGAAAGCGGCGGAAACUGAAGAACUUGAGCGAGGUAGGGGCAGGGGGUAUUCCUGGUGAAGCGGUGAAAUGCAUAGAUAUCAGGAGGAACACCAAUAGCGAAGGCACCCUGCUAGGCCGAAGCUGACACUAAGGGGCGAAACCUAGAGUAGCAAAUGGGAUUAGAUACCCCAGUAGUCCCUGUCUCUUAUAC